UAGGGAAUCUUCGGCAAUGGGGGCAACCCUGACCGAGCAACGCCGCGUGAGUGAAGAAGGUUUUCGGAUCGUAAAGCUCUGUUGUAAGUCAAGAACGAGUGUGAGAGUGGAAAGUUCACACUGUGACGGUAGCUUACCAGAAAGGGACGGCUAACUACGUGCCAGCAGCCGCGGUAAUACGUAGGUCCCGAGCGUUGUCCGGAUUUAUUGGGCGUAAAGCGAGCGCAGGCGGUUUGAUAAGUCUGAAGUUAAAGGCUGUGGCUCAACCAUAGUUCGCUUUGGAAACUGUCAAACUUGAGUGCAGAAGGGGAGAGUGGAAUUCCAUGUGUAGCGGUGAAAUGCGUAGAUAUAUGGAGGAACACCGGUGGCGAAAGCGGCUCUCUGGUCUGUAACUGACGCUGAGGCUCGAAAGCGUGGGGAGCGAACAGGAUUAGAUACCCUGGUAGUCCACGCCGUNNNGAUGAGUGCUAGGUGUUGGAUCCUUUCCGGGAUUCAGUGCCGCAGCUAACGCAUUAAGCACUCCGCCUGGGGAGUACNACCGCAAGGUUG
Molecule: ribosomal RNA, 549 nt
Filed under: uncultured bacterium
Lineage: Bacteria
Description: bacterial SSU rRNA
Rfam family: Bacterial small subunit ribosomal RNA
Source: RNAcentral